GUGCCUACGGGACACAGCAGUGGGGAAUAUUGGACAAUGGGGGAAACCCUGAUCCAGCGACGCCGCGUGAGUGAAGAAGUAUUUCGGUACGUAAAGCUCUAUCAGCAGGAAAGAGAAUGACGGUACCUGACUAAGAAGCCCCGGCUAACUACGUGCCAGCAGCCGCGGUAAUACGUAGGGGGCAAGCGUUAUCCGGAUUUACUGGGUGUAAAGGGAGCGUAGACGGCGGAACAAGUCAGAAGUGAAAACCCGGGGCUCAACCCUGGGAGUGCUUUUGAAACUGUUUGGCUGGAGUGCAGGAGAGG
Molecule: ribosomal RNA, 305 nt
Filed under: uncultured bacterium
Lineage: Bacteria
Description: bacterial SSU rRNA
Rfam family: Bacterial small subunit ribosomal RNA
Source: RNAcentral